CGACAAAAACUUUAAGAAAAGGUGGGCGUGCGCUAAAAGAUUGGUGUGAGAGAUCUCACACGAUUUCUUUUUGGUGCAUAAUUUUUUUUCCUUCCUUUUUCCAUGCUAUAGUUUCUUAUUUUGAUAAGAUUUGAUCUUAUCUCUUUUGGAGCAUGAGAGAUUUCUUGGUGUGCGACAAAAAAUUUAAGAAAAAAUAAGGUGGCGUGCACUAAGGUUAGGCGGUUUUCUUUCUUACUGCAUAACUUCCUUCCUAACGCCUCCUUUUUUUCUCCCCCUUCAUCCUAAUGCCCAG
RNAcentral lists this long non-coding RNA (292 nucleotides) under Elaeis guineensis (African oil palm). RNAcentral describes it as "long non-coding RNA (EGUI_LNC024840)". Lineage: Eukaryota; Viridiplantae; Streptophyta; Magnoliopsida; Arecales; Arecaceae. The record is from RNAcentral.